CCUACGGGAGGCUGCAGUGGGGAAUAUUGGACAAUGGGCGAAAGCCUGAUCCAGCCAUGCCGCGUGUGUGAAGAAGGCCUUCGGGUUGUAAAGCACUUUCAGUGGGGAAGAAAGCCUUGGGGCUAAUACCCUCGAGGAAGGACAUCACCCACAGAAGAAGCACCGGCUAACUCCGUGCCAGCAGCCGCGGUAAUACGGAGGGUGCGAGCGUUAAUCGGAAUUACUGGGCGUAAAGCGCGCGUAGGCGGUCUGAUAAGCCGGUUGUGAAAGCCCCGGGCUCAACCUGGGAACGGCAUCCGGAACUGUCAGGCUAGAGUGCAGGAGAGGAAGGUAGAAGUCCCGGUGUAGCGGUGAAAUGCGUAGAGAUCGGGAGGAAUACCAGUGGCGAAGGCGGCCUUCUGGACUGACACUGACGCUGAGGUGCGAAAGCGUGGGUAGCAAACAGGAUUAGAUCCCCCAGUAGUC
This 465-nucleotide ribosomal RNA is filed under the name Vreelandella stevensii. Its description in RNAcentral is "partial 16S ribosomal RNA". It matches the Rfam family "Bacterial small subunit ribosomal RNA", at positions 338 to 795 of the family's 1533-position model. The record is from RNAcentral. Lineage: Bacteria; Pseudomonadati; Pseudomonadota; Gammaproteobacteria; Oceanospirillales; Halomonadaceae.